GACGAACGCUGGCGGCGCGCCUAACACAUGCAAGUCGAACGGAGAAAAGAGCUUCGGUUUUUUUCUUAGUGGCGGACGGGUGAGUAACGCGUGAGCAACCUGCCCUAUGGAGGGGGAUAACGCCUGGAAACGGGCGCUAAUACCGCAUAAUGUAACGGGGUGACAUCAUUCUGUUACCAAAGGAGAGAUCCACCAAAGGAAGGGCUCGCGUCCGAUUAGGUAGUUGGUGAGGUAACGGCCCACCAAGCCUGCGAUCGGUAGCCGGACUGAGAGGUUGGCCGGCCACAUUGGGACUGAGAUACGGCCCAGACUCCUACGGGAGGCAGCAGUGGGGGAUAUUGCACAAUGGAGGGAACUCUGAUGCAGCGACGCCGCGUGAGGGAAGAAGGUCUUCGGAUUGUAAACCUCUGUCUUCAGGGACGAAUAAAGACGGUACCUGAGGAGGAAGCCACGGCUAACUACGUG
RNAcentral lists this ribosomal RNA (465 nucleotides) under uncultured organism. RNAcentral describes it as "bacterial SSU rRNA". It matches the Rfam family "Bacterial small subunit ribosomal RNA", at positions 28 to 507 of the family's 1533-position model. The record is from RNAcentral.